UCCGAGUUGUCCCCGGCAGUCCUCUUAGAGUCCCCGGCAUUACCCGCUGGCAACUAAGAGCAGGGGUUGCGCUCGUUGCGGCACUUAAGCCAACACCUCACGGCACGAGCUGACGACAGCCAUGCAGCACCUGUGCUAGCCCCUUACGGACACGGGCUUUCACCCGCUUUAACUAGCAUGUCAAACCCAGGUAAGGUGGGGAUGACGUACCAAGGUUGGUU
This 221-nucleotide unclassified non-coding RNA is filed under the name uncultured Actinomycetes bacterium. Its description in RNAcentral is "uncultured actinobacterium contains 16S-23S intergenic spacer region". Lineage: Bacteria; Bacillati; Actinomycetota; Actinomycetes. The record is from RNAcentral.